This 92-nucleotide transfer RNA is filed under the name Bacillota bacterium. RNAcentral describes it as "tRNA-Ser". It matches the Rfam family "tRNA". Rfam says of the family: Transfer RNA (tRNA) molecules are approximately 80 nucleotides in length. The record is from RNAcentral. Lineage: Bacteria; Bacillati; Bacillota.
GGAGAGAUGGCUGAGCUGGUCUAAGGCGCACGACUGGAAAUCGUGUUACGGCUAAUACCCGUACAAGGGUUCGAAUCCCUUUCUCUCCGCCA